GGAGGGCACUGUCCCACUUUUCCCUUGGGGUCUGCAGUCUGGGGGGUGAGAUGGAUGGUAACCCAGGGUGCUGGACCUGCAUGACCACACUCUCUGAGUGACCAGCGUGCUGCACUCGGGCCCCGAGCUAGGGCCUGAAGGAGACAGGUGACGUCCAGGGACAGGAGCAGGCCCUGCCUCGUGUCCCUGUGCCCCUACCCUGCCACUUCUCUGGUGACUUCUGCUCUGUGUCUCCCCACUUCCUGCCUGGGAGAGGAUCCAGGAGAGCCUGGCCGCUGAUCUCUACCCAGACUGUGGGGAGGUGCAGGGCAUCCAGCCAUGGAGGAUGCUGGUCCUCUCUGUGCUGUUCUGCAAGGUGGACACCGUCCACGGGAAGCCAAAUGAGCACCACCGAGCCUGCAGCGGAGCACAGAACAGAGAGAAGUCCAUGGGCAGAAAGAUGAGAAACAAAAUGCCGG
This 458-nucleotide long non-coding RNA is filed under the name Fukomys damarensis (Damara mole-rat). RNAcentral's name for it is "lncRNA (ENSFDAG00000027350.1)". Lineage: Eukaryota; Metazoa; Chordata; Mammalia; Rodentia; Bathyergidae. The record is from RNAcentral.